GUAGGUGGCAAGCGUUGUCCGGGAAUUAUUGGGGCGUAAAAGCGCGCGCAGGCGGUUCUUUAAGUCUGAUGUGAAAGCCCACGGGCUCAACCGUGGAGGGUCAUUGGAAACUGGAGAACUUGAGUACAGAAGAGGAAAGCGGAAUUCCACGUGUAGCGGUGAAAUGCGUAGAGAUGUGGAGGAACACCAGUGGCGAAGGCGGCUUUCUGGUCUGUAACUGACGCUGAGGCGCGAAAGCGUGGGGAGCAAACAGGAUUAGAUACCCUGGUAGUCCACGCCAUAAACGAUGAGUGCUAAGUGUUAGGGGGUUUCCGCCCCUUAGUGCUGCAGCUAACGCAUUAAGCACUCCGCCUGGGGAGUACGGCCGCAAAGGCUG
This 376-nucleotide ribosomal RNA is filed under the name uncultured organism. Its description in RNAcentral is "partial 16S ribosomal RNA". It matches the Rfam family "Bacterial small subunit ribosomal RNA", at positions 527 to 896 of the family's 1533-position model. The record is from RNAcentral.